This is a long non-coding RNA of Gasterosteus aculeatus aculeatus (three-spined stickleback), 3740 nucleotides long. Lineage: Eukaryota; Metazoa; Chordata; Actinopteri; Perciformes; Gasterosteidae. The record is from Ensembl.
UUUUAGGGUGGGUUGUUAUAUCCCCGCCUGGGAGUAACCAGCUAUAAAGACGUAGCUCCGCGCGGGUGGUGCUCUCAGAAUCCCUCGUUUAGAGCUUCGUUCCCGCUGAAGAGGCGGAAAAUAAAAAUGUGAAAACCGGCGCCCAUUUCCUGUCAGUCACGCCGGCCUGCGUCCUGCAGCCGCCACUUCCAGGGAUCAGCGGCUAAACCAACAGCCAUAUUCUUGGCAGCGAGCCAGCCCCCCCUCGCCCGCCCCCCCCCCCCCCGAAAGAGAGAGAGGCUCCCAUUGUGAGGCCCGAUCGUCCCAUUUAACGGCCGCUGCCACAAAGACGUGACACGUUUUCUCCGUAAUUACAAGUAAGAUAAUAAGAAUGGGAACGCGUUCUUUCACAGACUGUUUCUCGUUUCUGAAUAAAUGAUGAGCGUGUUGUGAAAAAGGAAUAUGAGACUCUGUUUGUUUUUUGUCCAGUUUUUGUUCAAGCGACUCACAUUGGACAUUAUGUAAACUUUGACUUCAUGGAGGACGUCCGUGUUCUGUUUAGUCUGCUCCCGCCGGAGGUGUGUGUGUGUGUGUGUGUGCUCGUCCUGCCCUCCAUCUGAGGACCAUUGCUCAUCUGAGACCUUCAGAGUGAGGACAUUUAGGCUGGUCUCAUUCUGCUUUCUGUAGGCGAACCAGUGGGAGACAAUGCAGAGUCCAAUCCAGUGGACGUGGAAGGAAGGACAGCACAGAGAAUCCAACGGUCCAGGCAGCUUCUGAACCGACCACUGAAGUGCUUUUCUCGUCUUGUUCUCCGGGAGGACUGAAGUUCGUCGUGAAAAGAGGGAAAACCGCACAAAAAAACGCCGCUUUUCCUUUGGGGACAAGGACAAGAUGGUUCUCCAAAGACAAUACGACAAAGAGUGUGUAUUUAUGUCUGAAAACUGACAGAAGAAAGAUGCAUAAAAACAACCCCGUCCACACACACACACACACACACACACACACACACACACCCCUGUUGUGUCACGCCGGUUGUCAUGGUCACACUUCUGACUUCAUGGAAGCUCAGUUUAAGCUUUAAAAGUUUAUCUGUGCUCACGAGCGCAUGACGAACAAAACACGACGUCAUCGAUGAGCUCCAACUCACAGCUGCUGGACGCUCAUGCAGUUGACUCUGGCGCCCCCUGUGGACGGAAGUGGUAGUGUCCCUACCAGCACGGUCCCUUCAGAACCCCUCGUUCUACCGCAGGGUUCCACAGUCAGCUCCUCUCAGUCCCGGGUCUGGUUCUCCCGGGCCUCCCUUCACUCCAUCACCACGUCCUGGUCCUCCAGAGAGGAGAAGCGUCUGGGUCUGUCCCCGGUGCGCCGUCUCUGCUUAAGGAUCUUCUACGGGGUCUACGGAGGAUCAGGACUAAACUGACUCUGAUUCAGAACCAACUCCUCACGGUAACUUUAAAUAAAUGAACUAAUUCGUCAAUGAAUCCAAGCGGCUGCGGUCUCAAUCGUCUCCGCUGGUCCAGGAUCAAAGACGAGGAGAAGUGGUCUCAUCAGGCAGUUGACUAAAGGCUCCUCCAGAGGGACCGACGCACUCGAGACCGUCCUUAAGACACUCUCACAGCGUCUCCUCAAAGAGACAACAGCUCAAGAGCCAAUUACCGCCGGCAGCCGUCCUCCGGAUCGACGAGCUGCAGCGAGACAGAAACCACCAAGAGGUCCUGUGAUGUGAGAGCUCUCAUUACACUCCAGCAGACCAUUGUCCUCUUGUUAAGGACCAAAUCAACCUCAUUCCAAAUGUUUGAGUUCUCCGUCCCGUCGUCUCCUCUCUGCUCCUCCCGCUCUCCUUAAAAGACAAACACUGCCCUCUGUCUCCGCCGCCUGGAAGCACAGGAAGGACAUCACCGGUGUGUGUCCUCAGAGACAACCACACAAAGACACAGAGCGUGUGUCCUCAGAGACAACCACACAACGACACAGAGUGUGUGUCCUCAGAGACAACCACACAACGACACAGAUGUGUGUCCUCAGAGACAACCACACAACGACACAGAUGUGUGUCCUCAGAGACAACCACACAACGACACAGAUGUGUGUCCUCAGAGACAACCACACAACAACACACAUAUGUGUGUCCUCAGAGACAACCACACAAAGACACACAUGUGUGUCCUCAGAGACAACCACACAAAGACACAGAGUGUGUGUCCUCAGAGACAACCACACAAAGACACACAUGUGUGUCCUCAGAGACAACCACACAACGACACAGAGUGUGUCCUCAGAGACAACAACACGGUUGUGUAUUUUGUUCUUUGUUGUUGUUGACAGACUGAAGCAGGAGGACGGGGACGAGGUCUUUUUGUUUCCUUCAGGUAUUUCCUCCGUCCUGAAGAAAGCUUCGUACCUGAAGCAGACGCAGCCUGAGUGCGUUGACCUUUGACCUUUAACCUCUGAAGUGACCUCACACCGUCUCCCCGAUGUCGUACGUUUUUUUACUGAAGGCUUAAAGCCACACUGGCUCCCCGUGAGGUGCUGGUUGCCCCGGUGGUGGUGACGUAGCCGUGGCGGUGGUGGUGACGUAGCCGUGGCGGUGGUGGUGACGUAGCCGUGGUGGUGACGUAGUAAUGCUAACAGGGAUGAGAGUAUUAAAACUCGGAUGUCACGGUGCGUCGGUGCUUUUGUUGAUUUUUGUUGUUGAUUCUGUUUCCUGUUUGAUUCCCGGAGCUCCUCCUCCAGAGAUCGUGAACGUCUCCAGGGAAGUUACUUGGAAUUACUGAGCAUUGCAGUGAAAGGUGUGCUCACCUUUACUGGCGCGGUGAGACGCCGUGGGAGAGGAAAGCGGGCCGGCUCCUUAGUGCGAGCAGCCUGGUUCUCGCACACCGCUGCCGGGCGUCUUUGUCUCCAGCGUGCGACAAGCUGGACAACCUCCAGCUGCUGGUGAGGACAGACAGACACUUUCCUGCACUCUCCAUUUUGUCCCUCGCAGAGACGUGGUUCUGUGGAUCGAUACCGAACUGCUGCUCAGAGCGGACAUGGAGCAAGGCGAAGGGUGGAGGAAUCUGCUUCAACUCCAACAGCAGCUGGUGCAGCGACGUUUCUCCUGAUCGGUUGAUGAUCAUUAACUGUUAUUUUAAUAUUUAUGGAUGAAGCUCACUGAUUUAAGAUGAUCCGAGUUGAAACGCUGACUCUCGUCCUUGUCUGAGGACCCUAAUGGUUCCGUAGGAGAGGAAGAAGGGAUUCACGUGUGUUACCGUAAACCAGUCAGAGCUCCGUGUGGGGGGGUCAGCUUGGUAACAUAUCUCCUGCGAGUGAAGGAGAUAACCGAGGCUAAUAGAAACAUGCCGGGGUGAUUUAUUGGGGGGCUCAGUACGGCAGACAGUCUGUUGACUCACUCUAUAAAUAAACAUAGAUCCAUACACAUAUAGAGAGUGUAGAGGGUGAUAUAUACGACUAUAUAUACACACACAUAUGUAGUGAUAUAUAAACUGGGAUGAUCUAUUCAUCCUGCCAUAACUUUACGUUUAAUAUGCUGUGAAGAACUAUUAUAUGGAUUGUACUCAUUUGUAUUUUAAUAUUAUAAAAUAAAAAUAAAUACAUGGUAAAGUGAAUGUAAUUAUCUAAAUGAUUGCAUACAUAAACUACAACCGAUGAACAGCAUUGUGUUAGCGACCGAAUACACUCUAAGGGACCAGAAAUGUCACUUUGAAUAAAUAACAGGAAAAAAAAGUGUGUGUAUAUAUUAUAUAUGUGUAUUAUAUAUAUAU